RNAcentral lists this ribosomal RNA (504 nucleotides) under uncultured bacterium. RNAcentral's name for it is "bacterial SSU rRNA". It matches the Rfam family "Bacterial small subunit ribosomal RNA", at positions 8 to 507 of the family's 1533-position model. The record is from RNAcentral.
AGAGUUUGAUCAUGGCUCAGAUUGAACGCUGGCGGCAUGCCUUACACAUGCAAGUCGAACGGUAACGCGGGGCAACCUGGCGACGAGUGGCGAACGGGUGAGUAAUGCAUCGGAACGUGCCCAGUAGUGGGGGAUAGCCCGGCGAAAGCCGGAUUAAUACCGCAUACGACCUACGGGUGAAAGCGGGGGACUCGCAAGAGCCUCGCGCUAUUGGAGCGGCCGAUGUCAGAUUAGGUAGUUGGUGGGGUAAAAGCCUACCAAGCCGACGAUCUGUAGCUGGUCUGAGAGGACGACCAGCCACACUGGGACUGAGACACGGCCCAGACUCCUACGGGAGGCAGCAGUGGGGAAUUUUGGACAAUGGGCGCAAGCCUGAUCCAGCCAUGCCGCGUGCGGGAAGAAGGCCUUCGGGUUGUAAACCGCUUUUGUCAGGGAAGAAACGCUCUGGGCUAAUACCCUGGGGUAAUGACGGUACCUGAAGAAUAAGCACCGGCUAACUACGUG